RNAcentral lists this ribosomal RNA (430 nucleotides) under uncultured bacterium. RNAcentral describes it as "partial 16S ribosomal RNA". It matches the Rfam family "Bacterial small subunit ribosomal RNA", at positions 29 to 507 of the family's 1533-position model. The record is from RNAcentral.
ACGAACGCUGGCGGCAGGCUUCACCCCUGCAAGUCGAGCGCCCCGCAAGGGGAGCGGCAGACGGGUGAGUAACGCGUGGGAACGUACCUUUUGGUUCGGAACAACUCCGGGAAACUGGAGCUAAUACCGGAUAAGCCCUAACGGGGAAAGAUUUAUCGCCGAAAGAUCGGCCCGCGUCUGAUUAGCUAGUUGGUGAGGUAACGGCUCACCAAGGCGACGAUCAGUAGCUGGUCUGAGAGGAUGAUCAGCCACACUGGGACUGAGACACGGCCCAGACUCCUACGGGAGGCAGCAGUGGGGAAUAUUGGACAAUGGGCGCAAGCCUGAUCCAGCCAUGCCGCGUGAGUGAUGAAGGCCUUAGGGUUGUAAAGCUCUUUUGUCCGGGAAGAUAAUGACUGUACCGGAAGAAUAAGCCCCGGCUAACUUCGUG